RNAcentral lists this transfer RNA (72 nucleotides) under Brooklawnia cerclae. RNAcentral describes it as "tRNA-Val". It matches the Rfam family "tRNA". Rfam says of the family: Transfer RNA (tRNA) molecules are approximately 80 nucleotides in length. Lineage: Bacteria; Bacillati; Actinomycetota; Actinomycetes; Propionibacteriales; Propionibacteriaceae. The record is from RNAcentral.
GGGCGGUUGGCGCAGCGGUAGCGCGCUUCCCUGACACGGAAGAGGUCACUGGUUCGAUCCCAGUAUCGCCCA